UGGGGAAUAUUGCACAAUGGGCGCAAGCCUGAUGCAGCCAUGCCGCGUGUGUGAAGAAGGCCUUCGGGUUGUAAAGCACUUUCAGCGGGGAGGAAGGCGUUAAGGUUAAUAACCUUGGCGAUUGACGUUACCCGCAGAAGAAGCACCGGCUAACUCCGUGCCAGCAGCCGCGGUAAUACGGAGGGUGCAAGCGUUAAUCGGAAUUACUGGGCGUAAAGCGCACGCAGGCGGUCUGUCAAGUCGGAUGUGAAGUCCCCGGGCUCAACCUGGGAACUGCAUUCGAAACUGGCAGGCUAGAGUCUUGUAGAGGGGGGUAGAAUUCCAGGUGUAGCGGUGAAAUGCGUAGAGAUCUGGAGGAAUACCGGUGGCGAAGGCGGCCCCCUGGACAAAGACUGACGCUCAGGUGCGAAAGCGUGGGGAGCAAACAGG
This 429-nucleotide ribosomal RNA is filed under the name Chloroflexota bacterium. RNAcentral's name for it is "Chloroflexi bacterium partial 16S ribosomal RNA". It matches the Rfam family "Bacterial small subunit ribosomal RNA", at positions 355 to 776 of the family's 1533-position model. Lineage: Bacteria; Bacillati; Chloroflexota. The record is from RNAcentral.